AGAACGAACGCUGGCGGCAUGCCUAAUACAUGCAAGUCGAACGAGAUCUUCGGGUCUAGUGGCGCACGGGUGCGUAACGCGUGGGAAUCUACCCUUGGGUUCGGAAUAACAGUUGGAAACGACUGCUAAUACCGGAUGAUGACGAAAGUCCAAAGAUUUAUCGCCCAGGGAUGAGCCCGCGUAGGAUUAGCUAGUUGGUGAGGUAAAGGCUACACGAAGCUACGAUCCUUAGCUGGUCUGAGAGGUAUGACUCACGCCACACGUGGGACUGACGACCACCGG
RNAcentral lists this ribosomal RNA (282 nucleotides) under uncultured soil bacterium. RNAcentral describes it as "partial 16S ribosomal RNA". It matches the Rfam family "Bacterial small subunit ribosomal RNA", at positions 26 to 344 of the family's 1533-position model. The record is from RNAcentral.